GAGGGUACAGCUCAAGUGGCAGAGCACUUGCUUAGCAUGCAUGAGGUCUUGGGUUCAAUUCCCAAUACCUCCU
Molecule: transfer RNA, 73 nt
Filed under: Camelus bactrianus (Bactrian camel)
Lineage: Eukaryota; Metazoa; Chordata; Mammalia; Artiodactyla; Camelidae
Also listed under: 2 other names
Rfam family: tRNA
About the family: Transfer RNA (tRNA) molecules are approximately 80 nucleotides in length. Their secondary structure includes four short double-helical elements and three loops (D, anti-codon, and T loops).
Source: Rfam by way of RNAcentral